CAGAAUACAUGAUGAUCUCCAACUUGAACUCUCUCACUGAUCAUUUGAUGAUUAUAAAAGAUCUGAUAUUCUG
Small nucleolar RNA from Ailuropoda melanoleuca (giant panda), 73 nucleotides. Its record names the gene SNORD81. It matches the Rfam family "Small nucleolar RNA SNORD81". Rfam says of the family: U81 is a member of the C/D class of snoRNA which contain the C (UGAUGA) and D (CUGA) box motifs. U81 acts as a guanine methylation guide and is found in intron 11 of the gas5 gene in mammals. Lineage: Eukaryota; Metazoa; Chordata; Mammalia; Carnivora; Ursidae. The record is from Ensembl.